AUUGAACGCUGGCGACAUGCCUUACACAUGCAAGUCGAACGGCAGCACGGGUGCUUGCACCUGGUGGCGAGUGGCGAACGGGUGAGUAAUACAUCGGAACAUGUCCUGUAGUGGGGGAUAGCCCGGCGAAAGCCGGAUUAAUACCGCAUACGAUCUACGGAUGAAAGCGGGGGACCUUCGGGCCUCGCGCUAUAGGGUUGGCCGAUGGCUGAUUAGCUAGUUGGUGGGGUAAAGGCCUACCAAGGCGACGAUCAGUAGCUGGUCUGAGAGGACGACCAGUCACACUGGGACUGAGACACGGCCCAGACUCCCACGGGAGGCAGCAGUGGGGAAUUUUGGACAAUGGGCGAAAGCCUGAUCCAGCAAUGCCGCGUGUGUGAAGAAGGCCUUCGGGUUGUAAAGCACUUUUGUCCGGAAAGAAAUCCUUGGCCCUAAUACGGUCGGGGGAUGACGGUACCGGAAGAAUAAGCACCGGCUAACUACGUG
RNAcentral lists this ribosomal RNA (486 nucleotides) under uncultured bacterium. RNAcentral's name for it is "partial 16S ribosomal RNA". It matches the Rfam family "Bacterial small subunit ribosomal RNA", at positions 30 to 507 of the family's 1533-position model. The record is from RNAcentral.